Molecule: ribosomal RNA, 434 nt
Filed under: uncultured Lachnospiraceae bacterium
Lineage: Bacteria; Bacillati; Bacillota; Clostridia; Lachnospirales; Lachnospiraceae
Description: bacterial SSU rRNA
Rfam family: Bacterial small subunit ribosomal RNA
Source: RNAcentral
ACGGAAGGCAGCAGUGGGGAAUAUUGGACAAUGGGGGAAACCCUGAUCCAGCGACGCCGCGUGAGUGAAGAAGUAUUUCGGUAUGUAAAGCUCUAUCAGCAGGGAAGAUAAUGACGGUACCUGACUAAGAAGCCCCGGCUAACUACGUGCCAGCAGCCGCGGUAAUACGUAGGGGGCAAGCGUUAUCCGGAUUUACUGGGUGUAAAGGGAGCGUAGACGGAAGGCCAAGUCUGAUGUGAAAACCCAGGGCUCAACCCUGGGACUGCAUUGGAAACUGGUCAUCUAGAGUGCAGGAGGGGUAAGCGGAAUUCCUAGUGUAGCGGUGAAAUGCGUAGAUAUUAGGAGGAACACCGGUGGCGAAGGCGGCUUACUGGACUGUAACUGACGUUGAGGCUCGAAAGCGUGGGGAGCAAACAGGAUUAGAUACCCUGGUA